CUUGCGCUAUCAGAUGAGCCUAGGUCGGAUUAGCUUGUUGGUGAGGUAAUGGCUCACCAAGGCGACUAUCCGUAACUGGUCUGAGAGGAUGAUCAGUCACACUGGAACUGAGACACGGUCCAGACUCCUACGGGAGGCAGCAGUGGGGAAUAUUGGACAAUGGGCGAAAGCCUGAUCCAGCCAUGCCGCGUGUGUGAAGAAGGUCUUCGGAUUGUAAAGCACUUUAAGUUGGGAGGAAGGGUUGUAGAUAAAUACUCUGCAAUUUUGACGUUACCGACUGAAUAAGCACCGGCUAACUCUGUGCCAGCAGCCGCGGUAAUACAGAGGGUGCAAGCGUUAAUCGGAAUUACUGGGCCGUAAAGCGCGCGUAGGUGGUUUGUUAAGUUGGAUGUGAAAGCCCCGGGCUCAACCUGGGAACUGCAUCGAAAACUGGCAUGCUAGAGUAGGGUAGAGGGUGGUGGAAAUUUCCUGUGUAGCGCUCAAGUGCAUAGAUAUAAGGAAGGAACACCUGUGGCGAACGCGACCACCUGAGACUGAUACUGACACUGGAGGUGCGAAGCGUGGCGCAGAAACAGGGAUUAGAUACCCUGGUAGUCCACCCCGUAAACCAUGUCACUAAGCCGUUGGAAUUCAUUGAUAUUUUGGUGCCGCACCUUAACGCAUUGAGGUCUGACCGCCUGGGGAAGUACGGCCGCAAGAUU
This 701-nucleotide ribosomal RNA is filed under the name Pseudomonas fulva. RNAcentral's name for it is "bacterial SSU rRNA". It matches the Rfam family "Bacterial small subunit ribosomal RNA", at positions 212 to 895 of the family's 1533-position model. The record is from RNAcentral. Lineage: Bacteria; Pseudomonadati; Pseudomonadota; Gammaproteobacteria; Pseudomonadales; Pseudomonadaceae.